CGUGUCGGAAGAAGGGCUUCGGGUGGUAAACUGCUUUUGUACGGAACGAAACGGCGAGCUCUAAUACAGUUUGCUAAUGACGGUACCGUAAGAAUAAGCACCGGCUAACUACGUGCCAGCAGCCGCGGUAAUACGUAGGGUGCAAGCGUUAAUCGGAAUUACUGGGCGUAAAGCGUGCGCAGGCGGUUUUGUAAGACAGUCGUGAAAUCCCCGGGCUCAACCUGGGAAUUGCGAUUGUGACUGCAAAGCUGGAGUGCGGCAGAGGGGGAUGGAAUUCCGCGUGUAGCAGUGAAAUGCGUAGAUAUGCGGAGGAACACCGAUGGCGAAGGCAAUCCCCUGGGCCUGCACUGACGCUCAUGCACGAAAGCGUGGGGAGCAAACAGGAUUAGAUACCCUGGUAGUCCACGCCCUAAACGAUGUCAACUGGUUGUUGGGUCUCUUCUGACUCAGUAACGAAGCUAACGCGUGAAGUUGACCGCCUGGGGAGUACGGCCGCAAGGUUGAAAACUCAAA
This 513-nucleotide ribosomal RNA is filed under the name uncultured prokaryote. Its description in RNAcentral is "bacterial SSU rRNA". It matches the Rfam family "Bacterial small subunit ribosomal RNA", at positions 400 to 905 of the family's 1533-position model. The record is from RNAcentral.